UGCAAGUCGAGCGAUCUCUUCGGAGAGAGCGGCGGACGGGUGAGUAACGCGUGGGUAACCUGCCCUGUACACACGGAUAACAUACCGAAAGGUAUACUAAUACGGGAUAACAUACGAAAGUCGCAUGGCUUUUGUAUCAAAGCUCCGGCGGUACAGGAUGGACCCGCGUCUGAUUAGCUAGUUGGUAAGGUAAUGGCUUACCAAGGCAACGAUCAGUAGCCGACCUGAGAGGGUGAUCGGCCACACUGGAACUGAGACACGGUCCAGACUCCUACGGGAGGCAGCAGUGGGGAAUAUUGCACAAUGGGCGAAAGCCUGAUGCAGCAACGCCGCGUGAGCGAUGAAGGCCUUCGGGUCGUAAAGCUCUGUCCUCAAGGAAGAUAAUGACGGUACUUGAGGAGGAAGCCCCGGCUAACUACGUGCCAGCAGCCGCGGUAAUACGUAGGGGGCUAGCGUUAUCCGGAAUUACUGGGCGUAAAGGGUGCGUAGGUGGUUUUUUAAGUCAGAAGUGAAAGGCUACGGCUCAACCGUAGUAAGCUUUUGAAACUAGAGAACUUGAGUGCAGGAGAGGAGAGUAGAAUUCCUAGUGUAGCGGUGAAAUGCGUAGAUAUUAGGAGGAAUACCAGUAGCGAAGGCGGCUCUCUGGACUGUAACUGACACUGAGGCACGAAAGCGUGGGGAGCAAACAGGAUUAGAUACCCUGGUAGUCCACGCCGUAAACGAUGAGUACUAGGUGUCGGGGGUUACYCCCYCUCGGUGCCGCAGCUAACGCAUUAAGUACUCCGCCUGGGAAGUACGCUCGCAAGAGUGAAACUCAAAGGAAUUGACGGGGACUCGCACAAGUAGCGGAGCAUGUGGUUUAAUUCGAAGCAACGCGAAGAACCUUACCUAAGCUUGACAUCYCACUGACUCUCCCUAAUCGGAGAUUUCCCUUUCGGGACAGUGGUGACAGGUGGUGCAUGGUGUCGUCAGCUCGUGUCGUGAGAUGUUGGUUAAGUUCCCGCAACGAGCGCAACCUUGCCUUUAGUUGCCAGCAUUAAGUUGGCACUCUAGAGGGACUGCCGAGG
RNAcentral lists this ribosomal RNA (1067 nucleotides) under Clostridium sp. CAB 1116. Its description in RNAcentral is "bacterial SSU rRNA". It matches the Rfam family "Bacterial small subunit ribosomal RNA", at positions 56 to 1157 of the family's 1533-position model. Lineage: Bacteria; Bacillati; Bacillota; Clostridia; Eubacteriales; Clostridiaceae. The record is from RNAcentral.